This 490-nucleotide ribosomal RNA is filed under the name uncultured bacterium. RNAcentral's name for it is "partial 16S ribosomal RNA". It matches the Rfam family "Bacterial small subunit ribosomal RNA", at positions 29 to 507 of the family's 1533-position model. The record is from RNAcentral.
AGUGAACGCUGGCGGCAGGCCUAAUACAUGCAAGUCGAACGGCAGCACAGCAGAGCUUGCUCUGUGGGUGGCGAGUGGCGGACGGGUGAGGAAUACAUGGGAAUCUGCCCAGUCGUGGGGGAUAACGUAUGGAAACGUACGCUAAUACCGCAUGCGCCCUUUGGGGGAAAGCCGGGGACCUUCGGGCCUGGCGCGAUUGGAUGAGCCCAUGUUCGAUUAGCUAGUUGGCGGGGUAAAGGCCCACCAAGGCGACGAUCGAUAGCUGGUCUGAGAGGAUGAUCAGCCACACUGAGACUGAGACACGGCCCAGACUCCUACGGGAGGCAGCAGUAGGGAAUAGUAGACAAUGGGCGCAAGCCUGAUCCAGCCAUGCCGCGUGAGUGAAGAAGGCCCUCGGGUUGUAAAGCUCUUUUGUCCGGAAAGAAAAGCAUUCGGUUAAUACCCGGGUGUUCUGACGGUACCGGAAGAAUAAGCACCGGCUAACUUCGUG